UUUCCGUAGGUGAACCUGCGGAAGGAUCAUUAUUGUAUAACCGAGGUGCGAGGGCUGUCGCUGACCCGAAAGGUCGUGCACGCCCGAGUGCCCUCACACACAUCCAUCUCACCCCUAUGUGCACCACCGCGUGGGUCCCCCUUUGGCUUGUUCGGAGGGGGGCUUACGUUUUCACACAAACUUUGUAUGCAGUGUAGAAUGUAUUUUUAGUUUUUGCGAUCACGCAAUCAAUACAACUUUCAACAACGGAUCUCUUGGUUCUGACAUCGAUGAAGAACGCAGC
Molecule: unclassified non-coding RNA, 283 nt
Filed under: plant metagenome
Description: partial contains small subunit ribosomal RNA, internal transcribed spacer 1, and 5.8S ribosomal RNA
Rfam family: 5.8S ribosomal RNA (bases 235-283)
Source: RNAcentral